RNAcentral lists this ribosomal RNA (226 nucleotides) under uncultured prokaryote. Its description in RNAcentral is "partial 16S ribosomal RNA". It matches the Rfam family "Bacterial small subunit ribosomal RNA", at positions 524 to 749 of the family's 1533-position model. The record is from RNAcentral.
UACGUAGGGUGCAAGCGUUGUCCGGAAUUAUUGGGCGUAAAGAGCUCGUAGGCGGUCUGUCGCGUCUGCUGUGAAAACUCAGGGCUUAACCCUGAGCUUGCAGUGGGUACGGGCAGACUAGAGUGCGGUAGGGGAGACUGGAAUUCCUGGUGUAGCGGUGGAAUGCGCAGAUAUCAGGAGGAAUACCAAUGGCGAAGGCAGUGCUCUGGGCUAACACUGACGCUGA